GCUGUACUGGCUGCUGUGUAAGAAUUUGGUUUGGAAGGCAGUGAGAGCAGAAUGGAAAGAGAAGAGAGGGGCCGCCUGUCACACCUAGUCUGCUGGCACAAGUCUAAAUCGGCCCUCCAGCUGCCUGCUCAUAUCUGCAAAAGGUUACUUGGAAAUGAGCAAAAUGACACAAGAUCUGUCCUCUGAAAGACAAC
RNAcentral lists this long non-coding RNA (194 nucleotides) under Fukomys damarensis (Damara mole-rat). RNAcentral's name for it is "lncRNA (ENSFDAG00000029311.1)". The record is from RNAcentral. Lineage: Eukaryota; Metazoa; Chordata; Mammalia; Rodentia; Bathyergidae.